RNAcentral lists this long non-coding RNA (783 nucleotides) under Homo sapiens (human). Its description in RNAcentral is "HSALNT0081561". Lineage: Eukaryota; Metazoa; Chordata; Mammalia; Primates; Hominidae. The record is from RNAcentral.
CCUUCCUUUAUUUUCUUUUUUACAUCUUGUAUCCAGUUAUUGCAAAUGUGCUUCAAUUUUCUGCAUUUUAUUUUACAAAAUCAGGGACAAAUGUAGAGCAAUUUCUAUUUCUGCAUGUAUCAUCCUCAGAUAGGAAUUCCAGUCAAUUGAAGCCACAACUGAGCGUGCAUGUUUGACCACCAUCUGUAUAGUGCGCUCUGAAACUUCUCCAUUUUCAGUUCGCUAGCUUCCUUUAGCGACUACAUUUGUAUAGUAUGACACAUUAGUGCUGGAAUUUUUCUCCAACUAGCAUGCCCAGGAUCUAUAGCAGACAAAUGAAGUCUUAGAUCUGUUUCUCACUCCAUAUUGCUGCCAAGUCCCUGAUGGAGAUGCCGAUCUUUUUUAUCAUUCCAAUCUAAACUUCAGCUUUUUGUAAGUGUUUUAUUUUUGCUAGCAUUUUGCCUUUGCACUCACUGAUUUAACACGCUUUUCACAUGGAAUCCUCAGCUUUCCUCACAAAUACAGUUUCUGGAAAAGUCGUUACAUUUUACUAACCUCUUUUGAUUCCAAUGGACCCAUUUUUCUCUCCUAUGUAAAUUUGCCUUUUGCUUCCUUUUGGUAUAUCAGUUUGUAAAUGUAAGAUGUCAACCUGGAUGUCAGAAUUUUUUUCAGUACAUACAUAAUCUCUUUCUUUGUAAAAUUAAUAAAUGAUUGAACUGCAGGUGUUAGAGAGCUAAAAAUUAUUUUUUGAUCGAGUGGCUUUAUUGCAGUUGUCAAUUGUCAUGGGUAUAUUUUCUACUGGGU